ACCGGGCGGACGGGUGCGUAACGCGUAUAGAACCUACCUUUAACAGAGGGAUAGCCCGAAGAAAUUUGGAUUAAUACCACAUAGUAUUAUAGAGUGGCAUCACUAUAUAAUUAAAGAUUUAUCGGUUAAAGAUGGCUAUGCGUCCCAUUAGCUAGUUGGUAUGGUAACGGCAUACCAAGGCGAUGAUGGGUAGGGGUCCUGAGAGGGAGAUCCCCCACACUGGUACUGAGACACGGACCAGACUCCUACGGGAGGCAGCAGUGAGGAAUAUUGGACAAUGGAGGCAACUCUGAUCCAGCCAUGCCGCGUGCAGGAAGACUGCCUUAUGGGUUGUAAACUGCUUUUAUACAGGAAGAAAAAGGUCCACGCGUGGAUUAUUGACGGUACUGUAAGAAUAAGCAUCGGCUAACUCCGUGCCAGCAGCCGCGGUAAUACGGAGGAUGCGAGCGUUAUCCGGAAUCAUUGGGUUUAAAGGGUCCGUAGGCGGUUUGUUAAGUCAGUGGUGAAAGUUUGUGGCUCAACCAUAAAAUUGCCAUUGAUACUGACGAACUUGAAUGAGUGUGAAGUAACUAGAAUAUGUAGUGUAGCGGUGAAAUGCAUAGAUAUUACAUAGAAUACCAAUUGCGAAGGCAGGUUACUAACACUUGAUUGACGCUGAUGGACGAAAGCGUGGGGAGCGAACAGGAUUAGAUACCCUGGUAGUCCACGCCGUAAACGAUGGAUACUAGCUGUUUGAGCGUAAGUUUGAGUGGCUAAGCGAAAGUGAUAAGUAUCCCACCUGGGGAGUACGCACGCAAGUGUGAAACUCAAAGGAAUUGACGGGGGCCCGCACAAGCGGUGGAGCAUGUGGUUUAAUUCGAUGAUACGCGAGGAACCUUACCAGGGCUUAAAUGUAGAGUGCAUGAUGUGGAAACACACUUUCUUCGGACUCUCUACAAGGUGCUGCAUGGUUGUCGUCAGCUCGUGCCGUGAGGUGUCAGGUUAAGUCCUAUAACGAGCGCAACCCCUAUUGUUAGUUACCAUCGAGUAAUGUCGGGGACUCUAGCAAGACUGCCGGUGUAAACCGUGAGGAAGGUGGGGAUGACGUCAAAUCAUCACGGCCCUUACGUCCUGGGCCACACACGUGCUACAAUGGUAGGUACAGCGAGCAGCCACUCCGCGAGGAGGAGCGAAUCUACAAAAUCUAUCACAGUUCGGAUUGGAGUCUGCAACUCGACUCUAUGAAGCUGGAAUCGCUAGUAAUCGGAUAUCAGCCAUGAUCCCGGUGAAUACGUUCCCCGGGCCUUGUACACACCGCCCGUCAAGCCCAUGGAAGUCUGGGGUACCUGAAGUCGGUGACCGUAAAAGGAGCUGCCUAGGGUAAGACAGGUAACUAGGGCUAAGUCGUAACAAGGUACCC
RNAcentral lists this ribosomal RNA (1399 nucleotides) under uncultured bacterium. RNAcentral describes it as "bacterial SSU rRNA". It matches the Rfam family "Bacterial small subunit ribosomal RNA". The record is from RNAcentral.